CUAACCUUUUCUUUACAAAAAUUCUCAAUUCGAUGCAACAUUAUUAUUCCUUUGCAGCAAAAAAAAGGCUGAAGUCGAAACUUGAGGUCAUCUGCUCCACUAGUUAACAUUGAAGAUUUGUACGAAGUUUCUACUUCUGCAGUCUCCUCCAUUUCUUCUAUGCUCAAAACCUUAUAUCCACACUUUCCUCUCUCACAUCGGGGUUAGUUGGUUGCAGUGCAUGAUAUCGAAAAGGUUGAUCUUAUUGUAUGAUAUUAUCAAGAAGAAAAUGAUGAGAUUAUAAGAAACAUGAUGAAUGAAAGUUCAAGUAAAGUUCAGCAAGGCAAUCAACAAGAGGGCGAGAACAUUAAAAUUGAAAAGUUGUCAAAGGCAGCCUCCACCUCAAGAUCAUGGUCAGCAUUCAGAAACCCAAGAAUUGUACGAGUGUCUCGUUCUUUGGGAGGAAAAGAUAGGCACAGCAAGGUUUGCACCAUUAGGGGACUGAGGGACCGAAGGAUUAGACUGUCUGUGCCAACAGCAAUUCAGUUAUAUGAUCUUCAAGACAAGCUUGGACUGAACCAACCUAGCAAGGUGGUAGAUUGGUUGCUUGAAGUCACCAAAUCUGAUAUUGAUAAACUCCCACCACUUCAAUUUCCUCACUGUUUUGCUCAGUUUCACCAGCAAACUCCACUGUCAGGUACCUCUCAGUUCUCUCUUGGAAGCCUGUAUGAUGGUGUUAAUUCCUCUUUUUUAAAGGAUGGGGGAAACCAAAACCUCAUGACAAAGUCAACAAGGUAUUGGGAUUUAGAUUCUCAAAACCGUACGGAGUUAGCUGAAAGUGUCUCAACCUCCCAGAAGGGCAAGUUCUGGAUCAAACCAAAUGAACUAGAAAAUCAUCAAAAUGGAAUUGUUGGUGUUAGUACUCGCAAUAGAGAAGAAUCUUCAGCUCAUUGUAAGGUCUUCCCCCUUGGGACUAAUAGCUCUUAUUUACCUGGUUUGUCAAACAAUGCCAUCACACAUAACUCCUACCAUCAUUCUGAACCUUCAACUCUAUCUUUAUCCCACCUUGGAAGCCAUGAAUUAUUUCCUUCCCAUCCAAGCAGUGGCAGUAGUGUGCAAUUUUCAUCUUCUAAUUUCUGUGGAGCAUCCGGUCCCCAAUUACUUUUUUGUCCACCUUCUGCUACACCAUCUGCUUUUUACUCGGUGGAAAGCGAUCCAAGACAAUCCAACAGUGUUCAGAUCUUUAGCUCAAGUUCCCAAGUCAUGAUGCCUCAUCCUCUCAUCCAAUCUAUUCAUUCCACCACUUCACCUCUUAGACGCCUUGCAACAUCUUUAAGUUCCAAGCUUUUUGAUUCAGAUAAUAGCGAUCGUAGCCAACAAGGUAAGGGCAGUACUCGUUCUUGAAGCUCCUCAUCAUCUCCCUUUCUGUCGCAAACGAUGUCAACAACGCAAGCAAGAUAUAAGGGUACGUAGUAUCCUUCCAGGAUAUUCUUCAUAUCAGUAUUCAACAGCUAAAGCACAUGAAUUAAAUUUUCGCACUCAGCCGUGAGUCUUAAUUUUAAUGUCAGAUUUAAGCUGAGUGAAACCAAGACAUGCGUAUGAUGCAAAAGGAUCGCAACGGUUCGGCCUAACAGCCAUAAUAAUUACCUCGUGAGAAGGAGCGAGAGGAGAAAGAUAUAAAUAGUGAAGGGAAAUAGGAAAUCGAAAAGGGGUUCAUCUUUGUAGCCUCUUUAACAGCAUAUUGAUGAAGGCAUGGAACUGAUAGAAGCAUGGUUGUAACACAAAGUGAAAAAGUGAGAAAAUGUAUUGGAAUCUGCAGUUUUUCUGAUGAUGAAAAGGAAGCAACAUCAAAUCUGAAGCAGAGUACUGAUCUUGAAAGCAGUCUCUCCUCUUCUGCCUGUAGACAAUAAUAUAUCACAAGAUCCAAGAUUGGGUUUUUAAAGCUCUCUCAUCAAAGAAAAAAAGCCAAAAUUUACAUGGUGGUCCCAAUUCUAAGCUUUUUAUUACUAUCAAAGAAAUAAAGACGAAGCAGUUACAUUU
Vigna angularis (adzuki bean) is the source of this 2019-nucleotide RNA transcript. It is a transcript of the gene named transcription factor TCP5, with no coding region annotated. NCBI's taxonomy places the organism in Eukaryota, Viridiplantae, Streptophyta, Magnoliopsida, Fabales, Fabaceae. The transcript has 4 exons. The record is from RefSeq and is a predicted model, not a curated record.